Molecule: ribosomal RNA, 440 nt
Filed under: uncultured bacterium
Lineage: Bacteria
Description: partial 16S ribosomal RNA
Rfam family: Bacterial small subunit ribosomal RNA
Source: RNAcentral
CCUACGUGGUGCAGCAGUGGGGAAUAUUGCGCAAUGGGGGAAACCCUGAUGCAGCGACGCCGCGUGAGCGAAGAAGUCUUUCGGUAUGUAAAGCUCUAUCAGCAGGGAAGAAUAUGACGGUACCUGAGUAAGAAGCUCCGGCUAAAUCCGUGCCAGCAGCCGCGGUACUACGUAUGGAGCAAGCGUUUUCCGGAUUUACUGGGCGUAAAGGGAGCGUAGGCGGGCUGACAAGUCUGAUGUGAAAUACCGUGGCUCAACCCCGGGGCUGCAGUGGAAACUGGCGGGCUUGAGUGCCGGAGAGGCAGACGGAAUUCCUAGUGUAGCGGUGAAAUGCGUAGAUAUUAGGAGGAACACCAGUGGCGAAGGCGGCCUGCUGGACAGUGACUGACGCUGAGGCUCGAAAGCGUGGGGAGCAAACAGGAUUAGAUACCCCAGUAGUC